Molecule: ribosomal RNA, 468 nt
Filed under: uncultured bacterium
Lineage: Bacteria
Description: partial 16S ribosomal RNA
Rfam family: Bacterial small subunit ribosomal RNA
Source: RNAcentral
GACGAACGCUGGCGGCGUGCUUAACACAUGCAAGUCGAGCGGACAGGCCCUGCUUUUGUUGGUUUGUCGAGUGGGGAAGGGGUGUGUAACACGUGAGUAUCCUGUCCUUGUCUUUGUGGUAUCUUCUGGAGACUGGGGCUAUUACAGGAGAGAAUCUACUGCUGCAUGUGGUUGGUUGGUAAAUUUCGGCUGUUGGGGCUGUUAUCGCUGCUUCUCAGCUUGUUGGUGUGGUAGUUGCUUACCAAGCCUUUGACGGAUAGCCGGCCUGAGAGGGUGACCGGCCACAUUGGGACUGAGAGAGGGCGCAGACUCCAACGGGAGGCAGCAGUGGGGAAUAUUGCAGAACGGGGGGAAGCCAGAUGCAGCAACGUUGGGAGCGGGAUGACGGCCUUCGGGUUGUAAACAGAUUUCGAAGGUGACGAAGAGUGAGUGACGGUAAUGGGUAAAGAAGCACCGGCUAACUACGUG